CCUACGGGUGGCAGCAGUCGAGAAUCAUUCACAAUGGGGGAAACCCUGAUGGUGCGACGCCGCGUGGGGGAAUGAAGGUCUUCGGAUUGUAAUCUCUUGUCAUGUGGGAGCAAAUUAAAAAGAUAGUACCACAAGAGGAAGAGACGGCUAACCCUGUGCCAGCAGCCGAGGUAAUACAGAGGUCUCCAGCGGUGUUCGGAAUCACUGGGCGUAAAGCGUGCGGAGGCUGGUUCAGAAGUCGUGUGUGAAAGGCGCGGGCCCAACCCGCGGACGGCACAUGAUACUGCGAGACUAGAGUAAUGGAGGGGGAACCGGAAUUCUCGGUGUAGCAGUGAAAUGCGUAGAUAUCGGGAGGAACACUAGUGGCGAAGGCGGGUUCCUGGACAUUAACUGACGCUGAGGCACGAAGGCCAGGGGAGCGAAAGGGAUUAGAUACCCGUGUAGUC
Molecule: ribosomal RNA, 446 nt
Filed under: uncultured bacterium
Lineage: Bacteria
Description: partial 16S ribosomal RNA
Rfam family: Bacterial small subunit ribosomal RNA
Source: RNAcentral